GACGAACGCUGGCGGCGUGCUUAACACAUGCAAGUAGAACGGAGAGGCGCUGCGUUUGUGGGGUGCGCGAGAGGCGAGCGGGUGAGUGAAACGUGAAUAACAUGUGCCUGGUUGUGGGGGAACUUCAGGGAAAACGGUAUAAUACCGGACAUGAGCUUCUGCUGCACGGUGGGGUUUGGAAAAAUUCGGUGGUUGGGGAUGGCAAGGCGGCUUUUCGGCUUGUUGGUGGGGUGGUGGCUUACUAAGGCUUCGAGGGGACGCCGGCCUGUGAGGGUGACCGGCCACAUUGGGCCUGAGGUAGGGCCAAGACUGCUACGUGAGGCAGCAGUGGGGAAUAUUGCACGAUGGGCGGAAGCCUGAUGCAGCAACGCCGCGUGCGGGAUGACGGCUUUCGGGUUGUAAACCGCGUUCGCCUGUGACGAAGCGUGAGUGACGGUAAUGUGUAAAGAAGCACCGGCUAACUACGUG
This 468-nucleotide ribosomal RNA is filed under the name uncultured bacterium. RNAcentral describes it as "partial 16S ribosomal RNA". It matches the Rfam family "Bacterial small subunit ribosomal RNA", at positions 28 to 507 of the family's 1533-position model. The record is from RNAcentral.